GAUGAACGCUGGCGGCGUGCCUAAUACAUGCAAGUCGAGCGAACGGACGAGAAGCUUGCUUCUCUGAUGUUAGCGGCGGACGUGUGAGUAACACGUGUAUAACCUACCUAUAAGACUGGGAUAACUUCGAGAAACCGGAGCUAAUACCGGAUAAUAUUUUGAACCGCAUGGUUCAAAAGUGAAAUACGGUCUUGCUGUCACUUAUAGAUGCAUCCGCGCUGCAUUAGCGAGUUGGUAAGGUAACGGCUUACCAAGGCAAGGAUGCAUAGCCGACCUGCGGGGGGGAUCGGCCACUGUGAAAGUGAGAGACGACCCAGAGUCCGAGGGGAGGCACAAGUAGGGAAGCUUGGGAACUGGGCGAAAGACUGCAGGAGGAACGGAGCGUGAGUGAUGAAGGGCUGCGGAUCGUAAAACUGUGUUAUUAGGGAAGAACAUAUGUGUAAGUAACGGUGCGUAUCUGGAGGGAACCUAAAAAGAAAGCCAGGCUAACUUACGU
RNAcentral lists this ribosomal RNA (496 nucleotides) under uncultured bacterium. RNAcentral describes it as "partial 16S ribosomal RNA". It matches the Rfam family "Bacterial small subunit ribosomal RNA", at positions 28 to 506 of the family's 1533-position model. The record is from RNAcentral.